GUUACCAGGUCCAGUUACAACCAGGAUGGAUAGCCAGGUUAAGUCACAAUCGGCAUGGCUUAUGCUGCCAUGUUCAUAGUCUCCAUGGGGCAUGCUGUCAGGUUAAGUCACAAUCGGCAUGGCUUAUGCUGCCAUGUGUAUAGUCUCCAUGGGGCAUGCUGUCAGGUUAAGUCACAAUCGGCAUGGCUUAUGCUGCCAUGUGUAUAGUCUCCAUGGGGCAUGCUGUCAGGUUAAGUCACAAUCGGCAUGGCUUAUGCUGCCAUGUUCAUAGUCUCCAUGGAUCAUGCUGUCAGGUUAAGUCACACUCGGCAUGGCUUAUGCUGCCAUGUUCAUAGUCUCCAUGGAUCAUGCUGGCAGGUUAAGUCACAAUCUGCAUGGCUUAUGCUGCCAUGUUCAUAGUCUCCAUGGAUCAUGCUGGCAGGUUCAGUCACACUCGGCAUGGCUUAUGCUGCCAUGUUCAUAGUCUCCAUGAGGCAUGCUGUCAGGUUCAGUCACACUCGGCAUGGCUUAUGCUGCCAUGUUCAUAGUCUCCAUGGAUCAUGCUGGCAGGUUCAGUCACACUCGGCAUGGCUUAUGCUGCCAUGUUCAUAGUCUCCAUGGGGCAUGCUGUCAGGUUCAGUCACACUCGGCA
Haliotis rubra (blacklip abalone) is the source of this 631-nucleotide long non-coding RNA. RefSeq lists it as uncharacterized. NCBI's taxonomy places the organism in Eukaryota, Metazoa, Mollusca, Gastropoda, Lepetellida, Haliotidae. The transcript is spliced from 4 exons. The record is from RefSeq and is a predicted model, not a curated record.